This 393-nucleotide ribosomal RNA is filed under the name Triticum aestivum (bread wheat). Its description in RNAcentral is "partial small subunit ribosomal RNA". Lineage: Eukaryota; Viridiplantae; Streptophyta; Magnoliopsida; Poales; Poaceae. The record is from RNAcentral.
AUGCAUACAGGCGGCGCCGCCGCGGGCGCUCCUCGAUCCAUACGGGCGGCUGGUCUUCUUCUCCAGCCAUCUGCCGCCCUUCUCCCCUUCCCAUUCGCUGCCCUACUCUACCCUCCCGCCCCUAAUCUUCUCUGGCACUACCCCCAGCCUCCUGCUGCCGUGCCUCGAUCCAUACAGGCGCCACCGCGCGGGGGGCGGUCUUCUUCUCCAGCCAUCCGCCGCCCUCCUCCCCUCCCCUCCCUCUUAAUAUUCUUCUUCUUCUCCGGCCAGCCGUCGCCCUCCUCAAAUCCCGCGGAGUUUGCCGGAGGAAGAACAUCCGCCGUCCGAAUGUGCUACACCAGAGGGAAGCACCGGAAAGAGGAUGUUUCUAUGCAGCAUAACCCAAAAGUUUAA